GACGAACGCUGGCGGCAUGCUUAACACAUGCAAGUCGAACGGAAAGGCCCUGCUUUUGCGGGGUGCUCGAGUGGCGAACGGGUGAGUAACAUGUGAGUAACCUGCCCUUGACUUUGGGAUAACUUCAGGAAACUGGGGCUAAUACCGGAUAGGUGCUCCUGCUGCAUGGUGGGGGUUGGAAAUUUUCGGCGGUUUGGGAUGGACUCGCGGCUUAUCAGCUUGUUGGUGGGGUAGUGGCUUACCAAGGCUUUGACGGGUAGCCGGCCUGAGAGGGUGACCGGCCACGUUGGGACUGAGAUACGGCACAGACUCCUACGGGAGGCAGCAGUGGGGAAUAUUGCACAAUGGGCGGAAGCCUGAUGCGGCAACGCCGGGUGCGGGAUGACGGCCUUCGGGUUGUAAACCGCUUUCGCCUGUGACGAAGCGUGAGUGACGGUAACGGGAGAAGAAGCACCGGCUAACUACGUG
This 468-nucleotide ribosomal RNA is filed under the name uncultured bacterium. Its description in RNAcentral is "partial 16S ribosomal RNA". It matches the Rfam family "Bacterial small subunit ribosomal RNA", at positions 28 to 507 of the family's 1533-position model. The record is from RNAcentral.